This 404-nucleotide ribosomal RNA is filed under the name bacterium enrichment culture clone ALO1_GLFRUDD03GFM29. RNAcentral's name for it is "bacterial SSU rRNA". It matches the Rfam family "Bacterial small subunit ribosomal RNA", at positions 9 to 412 of the family's 1533-position model. The record is from RNAcentral.
GAGUUUGAUCCUGGCUCAGAUUGAACGCUGGCGGCAGGCCUAACACAUGCAAGUCGAGCGGAUGACGGGAGCUUGCUCCUUGAUUCAGCGGCGGACGGGUGAGUAAUGCCUAGGAAUCUGCCUGGUAGUGGGGGACAACGUUUCGAAAGGAACGCUAAUACCGCAUACGUCCUACGGGAGAAAGCAGGGGACCUUCGGGCCUUGCGCUAUCAGAUGAGCCUAGGUCGGAUUAGCUAGUUGGUGGGGUAAUGGCUCACCAAGGCGACAAUCCGUAACUGGUCUGAGAGGAUGAUCAGUCACACUGGAACUGAGACACGGUCCAGACUCCUACGGGAGGCAGCAGUGGGGAAUAUUGGACAAUGGGGCGAAAGCCCUGACUCCACGCCAUCGCCGCGUGUGUAGAA